This 738-nucleotide ribosomal RNA is filed under the name uncultured bacterium. RNAcentral's name for it is "bacterial SSU rRNA". It matches the Rfam family "Bacterial small subunit ribosomal RNA", at positions 37 to 818 of the family's 1533-position model. The record is from RNAcentral.
UGGCGAGAUGCUUUACACAUGCNAGUCGUACGAGAGUUUUUAACUCAAGUGGCGGACGGGUGAGUAACACGUAAGAAUUUACCUUUAGGAGGGGGACAACAGUUGGAAACGACUGCUAAUACCCCAUAUGCUUUCGAGUGAAAUGGAUUUUUCCGCCUAGAGAGAAGCUUGCGGCUGAUUAGCUUGUUGGUGAGGUAAUGGCUUACCAAGGCGACGAUCAGUAUCUGGUUUGAGAGGAUGAUCAGACACACUGGAACUGAGACACGGUCCAGACUCCUACGGGAGGCAGCAGUGGGGAAUUUUCCGCAAUGGGCGAAAGCCUGACGGAGCAAUCUCGCGUGAGGGAUGACUGCCUAUGGGUUGUAAACCUCUUUUUUCAGGGAGGAAUUAAUGACGUUACCUGAAGAAUAAGCAUCGGCUAACUCCGUGCCAGCAGCCGCGGUAAGACGGAGGAUGCAAGUGUUAUCCGGAAUCACUGGGCGUAAAGCGUCUGUAGGUGGUUUAGUAAGUCAACUGUUAAAUCUUGAAGCUCAACUUCAAAAUCGCAGUCGAAACUAUUAGACUAGAGUAUAGUAGGGGUAAAGGGAAAUUUCCAGUGGAGCGGUGAAAUGCGUAGAGAUUGGAAAGAACACCGAUGGCGAAGGCNCUUUACUGGGCUAUUACUGACACUCAGAGACGAAGCUAGGGUAGCAAAUGGGAUUANAUACCCCAGUAGUCCUAGCCGUAAACAUGGAACUA